This is a long non-coding RNA of Equus caballus (horse), 4227 nucleotides long. NCBI's taxonomy places the organism in Eukaryota, Metazoa, Chordata, Mammalia, Perissodactyla, Equidae. The record is from Ensembl.
GCGGCCUUAGAGAUCUUUAUAGUCCACCCUGAGUGUUUCAGAUAAGGAGCCGGAGGCCCAGAGAGGGGACACUCCUGCCCCAGCGCCACACAACUCAGCAGUAACACGUGAGGUGGCAGUCCAGGAUCAGCGUUUUCUUGGAACCGAGUCGCCUUCAGUGUCCCUGGAGUGCUGGGGGUUACCGAGGGGGGCAGGGACAGAGAGGCCUUCUAGAUAAAUACCCUGCUCUGGCGCAGGCCUCAGACAGCUGGGCAAACGCCGGCCGGGAGGACCGGCUCAGGCAGAGAUCCCAGAAGGCGGCCUGGGCGGUGGAGGCGGCAUGCCGGCCCGUCGAUGCCCCCUUGUGGCCAAGCGCUGAAACGCCAGGCGGGGACCGAGGCGGCAGGUGCGGCUGCCCUGAGCUUCGCCCUAAGGAGCAUCUUUCACCGCCGCAGGUCACCGGCCAGCGAAGCCAAGGAAGUCUGUGCGUGUGCAGACUCAGGCCAUAAAUGUGGGCCCCACCGGCGGCUGACCAAUAUUUUGGGUAAACGCUCAAGGAAUGGAGCUGAAUAAUGACGACAUUACAGACCGAAUGUUUGUGUCCCCUCCCCACUUCCUACGUUGAAGCCUGACCCCCAGUGCUGUCGUGCUUGGAAGCGGGGCCUUUGGGAGUGAUGAGGGUUAAAUGAGGUGGUGAGGUGGGGCUCCUGUGAGGGGACUAGUGCCCUUGUGGAAGACAGAGAGAACCAGAGCUGCGGUUGCUGCCCUGCGAGCACACAGGGAGAAGGUCAUCUGCUGACAGAGAGACGGUCCUUUCUCACCAGGAACCGGAUCUCCCGCCACCUUGACCUUGGGCUUCCAGCCUCCAGAACUGUGAGAAAUAAAUCUCUCUUGUUUAAGCCCCGAGUCUGUGGUGUUCAGUUCUGGCUGCCUGAGCAGACUAAGACAAAUCAUCAGCAUUUCUAUUUGCAGGACUGCCAAGUGGAGAAAAAGCAGACCUGUUCUCUUUAGUCCCAAAGAAGGAGCAAAAGCCAAGGAGUAAAAGCUUCAGUGUCGUCUCAGAGCAAAGGCUGAGCUGUCCAAAGAUGGGACAGGGGCCUCUGGAGGUGGCCAGUCCCUGCCUCAGGUCGCAGGGCGCACCAGAGCUGGGUGGGCAGGUGGGGUGGUUAGAGCCCGUGGCUGAGGAUCAGUCUGGGGCCGUUUGCAGCCUUGGGAGGGACAGGGAGGCAGGAGGAAGUCUCCCACUGCGGGAGGGAGCACUGGCCUUGGGGAGAUUCACAGAAGGGUCCGGAACAACAGUAGAGAUGAGCUGCUCCAUGAUCCUCCGGGAGCUGGCCCCUCACUGACCACCCCGCACGGCGGGACUGGUUCCCGCUGAGAAGUUGCUCUGCUUUCUCUCUGCUUUGCUGACUCUCUGGCUUGAGGACAAAGUGCUGCGGCCUCUUUAAUACCCCAGCACUGCGGGCUGGGCAUCCUGAUCACUGCUGGUUCAAAGGUCAGAAACCCCAAGGGGCAGCUGAACUUGUGGCAACGGUGGGAGAGGAGUUGCUGUUGACCAACGUCUGGGCCAGAAGGCCACUUAUUCCUGGCAGAUUCUGGAACUCUAGAGGGAGGGCUUACUCCCUUGUCCAGGGAACAAGCUCAGAGCAGUUGCUUAUUCACCCAUCCACCCCAUGCUGCGACUAAAAUCCAAAUUCCAGAUUCCAAAUGCUGCUAAAAGGCAGCCCUCUUCCUUCAGCCAUUGACCCCAGAAAUGCCCUGGCCGAGUGGUCUCCUCUUGGACUGCUUACCAUCUCCCAGGUUUCACCUGCAGUCCUGCAGCUCGUGCCUCAGGGUCUACCUGGGAAAUGAUAGCAAAAUAAACUGCUGAGAUGUUCAGGCUCUUUCCUCUGGGCAGAGUAUACACAGAAGCCAGAUGCAAUGGAAGCACUAACAGGGGACAGCCGACCUCCCUGCCGUGUGCCGUGGGGAACCAGGGCCUAGGACACACGUUCCUGACAAACGCCAUGCUUCCUGCCUGGGCACAUGGUGGUGGUGGUGUUUGAGGCCAGCGUUACACCUCAUUGUGCUAAUGUGCAUGUUUGAGCAAAGUUCAGAGUACAGUGGGAGGUAAAAACUCCAGUCCUCAAAGCCACAGAUAUCCAGAAUCCACACAGUAGCCUGCUCUUUCCAGGACCUCCAGGUGGAUGGGCAGUGUCUUCGUCAUCUCGGGCUGCUGUAACAAGAACCAUAGACUGGGGGCUUGAACAAGAGACGUUUGAUUCUCACAGUUCUGGAGGCUGGAAGUGCCAGCCUGGUUGGGUUCUGGUGAGAGGUCUCUUCCUGGUUUGCAGAUGGCGCCUGGUCACUGUGUCCUCACAGGGCAGAGAGAGAGCAAGCUCUGGUGUCUCUUCCUCUUCUUACAAGGGCACCAGUUCUGUCAGAUCAGGGCCCCACCCUUCUGACCUCAUUCAACCUUCAUCACCUGCAGACAGGCCCAUCUGCAAUACAAUCACUUGGGAGGUCAGAGCUUCAGCAUGUGACUUUGGAGGGACACAGUUCAGUCCACAGCAGUCACGCACCGCAUUGCAUCAAAAGACAUGGAAGUUUGAAAAGAGAGAAUGCCAGAGAAGAAAGAGUGGGGAAGGGAAGGGGCCAUGGCCAAGACGGUGUCAGAGAGAGUUACCAAAAAUACGUAAAACCAGGGAUCCAGACCACCAUCUGGGGCCACUCGUAAAUCAGCAGGAAAGGCUGGAAGGGCGCAUGGUGGUCUUCCUCUACUCUACGCCAGCUCUCCUGGAUCCUGGUGCCAGCUCAGGGCAUCUUCUCCUCUCCUUGUCACCAUAGACUCAAAAAAAAAGCACUCAUUUGGAGACAGGGAGGAGGUGAUGGGAAAGAGAUCAGAGAGAGAGACUGUUACACUUUAGGUCCUGAGAGGACAUGGGUCUCCCUGGGUCUGCGAGUUAGGAACUUUCUGCACGCCACAUGCCUCACAGGCCCAGGAGAGCAUCUGCACGGUGGUAGUUUGGAAAGACUCAUGGAAAACAGAGCAAAAGCUGGGGCCCAGGAGAACUCCUGCCUUUUCACAAAAUCCUUUUGGAUGAGGGGGUGUUGAAAGAAUGAUCAAGAGAUGUCAUGGAAUCUUCUUGCCCACACCCUUGAACAAGCAGGACAGAUAGUUCCUAGUAUCCAUCAUCCAUUAUCAAUUAGCCAUUAUCCAUUAUCCAUCAUCCAUCAGCCAUCAGCCAUCAUGCCGGAAGCCACAGGAGCCUGCACCGCUCCUCUCUUCAAGCUGCUGACAAUCACUGCUGUGCCAGCGAUGCAGAGAAUCCUUCCUCUCCCACCUCUUUUCUUCUUUAUUCCCCACCUGGAAAUUGAUGUUGCUUGAAAGGACUUGUUGAGCUUUUGUUUUGCUUUUUUCUUAACAAGAACUGGAAAAUUUGAGUAGUCUUUUUGCAACGUUAGAGUAUGAAGGUUGUGCUCCCCUCUAAGGAUUUUACAAUGCGGAGAAGUUGGAGGUGACCAGAAACAAAUAAACUGAGGAAGCUUUAUUGCCUAAUUACUUGGAGGAUGAUUAAAAAAAAAAGCAGUUAUGGGGCUGGCCCCGUGGCCGAGUGGUUAAGUUCGCGCGCUGCUCUGCAGGCGGCCCAGUGUUUCGUUGGUUCGGAUCCUGGGCGCGGACAUGGCACUGCUCAUCAGACCACGCUGAGGCAGCGUCCCACAUGCCACAACUAGAAGAACCCACAACGAAGAAUACACAACUAUGUACCGGGGGCUUUGGGGAGAAAAAGGAAAAAAUAAAAUCUUUAAAAAAAAAAAAAAAAGCAGUUAUGCUUGGGGCUGCUAGGUGCUACUUACUCUCUAUUCUUCCUUUCUUCCUUAAUAAGAGAAAACUUGUAUUGUUUUGGAUAGCAGUGUACCCAAACUAAAAACACAAAACAAAAACUGUAUGUCCAGGUCUUCUUUGCAGAUGUGAGUGGCCAAUGAGCUCUAAACAGAAGCUUUUGGAUGGGGCCUCCAGUAAACAAGACUUAUUUAGCCUGCAGACACCCCUUGUCCCUGCUUGUUCCUUUUUCUUCCUGCCUGGAACAUGGACAUGAUGACUGGAGCUGUGGCAGCCAUCUUGGAACCAUGAAGGAAAAGUCAAGAAAAUUAUAAAAACUUUGGCCCUGGCAUACUUGAGCUUCUACACCAGGGGUUGGCAAACUAUGGCCCGUGAGCCAAAUCUGGCCCACCAUCUGUUUUUGUAAAUAAAGUUUUAUUGGAAUA